CCCUUAGAUGUUCUGGGCCGCACGCGUGCUACACUGACCGGCGCAACAAGCUUUUUUCCUUGGCUCGACAGGCCUGGGUAAUCUUCGAACGCCGGUCGUGAUGGGGAUAGAUCCUUGCAAUUUUUGAUCUUCAACGAGGAAUUCCUAGUAAAUGCGAGUCAUCAUCUCGCGUUGAUUACGUCCCUGCCCUUUGUACACACCGCCCGUCGCACCUACCGAUUGAAUGGUCCGGUGAAGCCUCCGGAUUGGCGCGCACCUCGGUGCCGCCGAGAAGUUGGCUAAACCUUACCAUUUAGAGGAAGGUGAANUCGUANCA
Molecule: ribosomal RNA, 316 nt
Filed under: uncultured eukaryote
Lineage: Eukaryota
Description: partial 18S ribosomal RNA
Rfam family: Eukaryotic small subunit ribosomal RNA
Source: RNAcentral